GUCUAAUACCGGAUAGGACCCUGGACCGCAUGGUUUGGGGUGGAAAGUUUUUUCGGUCUGGGAUGGACUCGCGGCCUAUCAGCUUGUCGGUGAGGUAGUGGCUCACCAAGGCGUCGACGGGUAGCCGGUCUGAGAGGGUGACCGGCCACACUGGGACUGAGACACGGCCCAGACUCCUACGGGAGGCAGCAGUGGGGAAUAUUGCACAAUGGGGCGAAAGCCUGAUGCAGCAACGCCGCGCGCGGGAUGACGGCCUUCGGGUUGUAAACCGCUUUUAGUAAGGAAGAAGGGGAGCUUGCUCCUUGACGGUACUUGCAGAAAAAGGACCGGCUAACUACGUGCCAGCAG
Molecule: ribosomal RNA, 348 nt
Filed under: uncultured Agromyces sp.
Lineage: Bacteria; Bacillati; Actinomycetota; Actinomycetes; Micrococcales; Microbacteriaceae
Description: bacterial SSU rRNA
Rfam family: Bacterial small subunit ribosomal RNA
Source: RNAcentral